This is a long non-coding RNA of Nyctereutes procyonoides (raccoon dog), 540 nucleotides long. RefSeq lists it as uncharacterized. The transcript is spliced from 3 exons. Lineage: Eukaryota; Metazoa; Chordata; Mammalia; Carnivora; Canidae. The record is from RefSeq and is a predicted model, not a curated record.
GUGAGAAUUCUCAUCUGUCUGAUCUUGGUGCAUUGUCCUGGAGGAAAACUGAAGUGAUUGGUAUCUGGGAAGAGACACGGAGAUAAGAUGUUACCUCUUGUCUGACACAAAAUCCUGUACUAAAGGCCCUGGAUUACAACAGUGUGGGCCUGAGAAGCAGCUGAGGAGAAUAAAGCUGGUCAAGCCUGGAGGGCAUGUUCCUCACUUCACCACUCCCCCACCCCCAGUGAUUUCUUGAUACAUCUAAAAUGAACAGUAGAUAGAAGAACCAUGGAUGACCUUUAAAUCUGAUCCAGAACUAAUAUGGCACCUGCUCACCAGCCAUUCUCAAUGACCUGAAGUGGAUCCAUCACACGGUUCUGACUUCAUCCCCACUGUUAUCACACCCAAGAGCACUCUCUAAUAAAUCAACUGGCUGCUAAACCCCACCUUGGAAUCUGCUUUCUGGUGGCCCCAACCUAUGACACCUGCGAGGUAGAGGUCUCUGAUGCCUAGUGAUCCCAUAAAAGCAGGAGGGGAAAUGGAUCAGUGAAGCUCCUA